GCGUUGCUUUUACACAACGCUGCUUCCCCAAAAAGCCUGGCAUCCCCCACCAGCCGCACUUCCGGUUCCGGCUUCUGCUGGUGUCGUCCACCCGAUUUGCCCUACGGAUCAACCCGGGCUUAGCACAGCAGUAUGACGUCCUCCAUCACCGCCCGCACCAUGGACGCUGCUGGAUGCCCGGAAAAUGGAGAACGGCCUGUAGCACAUAGCGAUUGCUCCCUCAGCGCUUCAGAGGCCGGCCCUGCACCUCCAUCUUCCCGCCAGACAGCCGCGGCAGGGAGACUCCGCUAACGCAUUUCCCUGUGAGACUUGGAAAAGAAGGAAGGAAGCUCUGGUAAUGGAAACGGAAAAGAAUUUCCCAAGACUUCUUAGCAUUCCUCUGCAUAAUGUGUACUAACAUAGAAUUAUAUGGAAGCAAAGGGAAACUAAGAGAUAAGUGCACACAAUGAAAUGAAACAGAAAUCAUUAUAUGCAUGGGCAAUAAUCUAUAGACACCGCUAGAAACCAGAAUCCAAAUAUGUAUAAGUAACACAAGUAAAAGGAAUUAAAACA
Molecule: long non-coding RNA, 552 nt
Organism: Pseudophryne corroboree (corroboree frog)
Lineage: Eukaryota; Metazoa; Chordata; Amphibia; Anura; Myobatrachidae
Exons: 2
Source: RefSeq, a predicted model, not a curated record